ACGAACGCUGGCGGCAUGCCUAACACAUGCAAGUCGAACGAGACCUUCGGGUCUAGUGGCGCACGGGUGCGUAACGCGUGGGAACCUGCCCUUAGGUUCGGAAUAACUCCCCGAAAGGGGUGCUAAUACCGGAUAAUGUCUUCGGACCAAAGAUUUAUCGCCUUUGGAUGGGCCCGCGUUGGAUUAGCUAGUUGGUAGGGUAAAAGCCUACCAAGGCGACGAUCCAUAGCUGGUCUGAGAGGAUGAUCAGCCACACUGGGACUGAGACACGGCCCAGACUCCUACGGGAGGCAGCAGUGGGGAAUAUUGGACAAUGGGCGAAAGCCUGAUCCAGCAAUGCCGCGUGAGUGAUGAAGGCCUUAGGGUUGUGAAGCUCUUUUACCCGGGAUGAUAAUGACAGUACCGGGAGAAUAAGCUCCGGCUAACUCCGUG
RNAcentral lists this ribosomal RNA (432 nucleotides) under uncultured bacterium. Its description in RNAcentral is "partial 16S ribosomal RNA". It matches the Rfam family "Bacterial small subunit ribosomal RNA", at positions 29 to 507 of the family's 1533-position model. The record is from RNAcentral.